AGGAGCCGUAUGAGAUGAAAACCUCAUGUAUGGUUUUGGAACGGAGAUUUUUUGAAUAGAAUGAACGACCGUAAU
Molecule: non-coding RNA, 75 nt
Organism: Triticum aestivum (bread wheat)
Lineage: Eukaryota; Viridiplantae; Streptophyta; Magnoliopsida; Poales; Poaceae
Source: Rfam